Long non-coding RNA from Centropristis striata (black sea bass), 373 nucleotides. RefSeq lists it as uncharacterized. The record is from RefSeq and is a predicted model, not a curated record. The transcript has 3 exons. NCBI's taxonomy places the organism in Eukaryota, Metazoa, Chordata, Actinopteri, Perciformes, Serranidae.
UUUUUUUUUUUUUUAGAACUUACAGAUAUUGCAUGCUGAACUUCGUUGUUGGCUCUAAGUACCUCACUGUUGGAUCUCCAACCUGACAGAAAAACAUGACAGCUGCUGUAAAGGUUUUCCUCGUAUGCUGUCUGCUUCAAGGUAGCUUUUGCCAACAAUGGGCCAGCUUCCUGCCUCAGUCAGUCCAGGGACUAAGUGGAUCUUGUGUGAGAGUCUCCUGCAGGUUCACCAUUCCCUCAGGAUGGGAUUCAAGCUUGAAUCCUUCGUGUAGAGCCAUUUGGAAGAGAGGCAGGACAGAGAUGUUUGAUACUAGCAAGACUGGAGGAAGAGCAGACCUGACGGGGGACCUGCUUCAGAAGGACUGCACCACCAU